CUACGGGCGGCAGCAGUGGGGAAUAUUGGACAAUGGGGGAAACCCUGAUCCAGCAAUGCCGCGUGUGUGAAGAAGGCCUGCGGGUUGUAAAGCACUUUCGGUUGGGAGGACUGCUUCUAGCACUAAUAUUGUUGGAAGUUGACGUUACCUUCAGAAGAAGCACCGGCUAACUCCGUGCCAGCAGCCGCGGUAAUACGGAGGGUGCAAGCGUUAAUCGGAAUUACUGGGCGUAAAGCGCGCGUAGGCGGCUAGAUCAGUCGGGUGUGAAAGCCCCGGGCUUAACCUGGGAACUGCAUCCGAUACUGUCUAGCUUGAGUACAGGAGAGGAGAGUGGAAUUCCACAUGUAGCGGUGAAAUGCGUAGAUAUGUGGAGGAACACCAAUGGCGGAGGCAGCUCUCUGGCCUGAUACUGACGCUGAGGUGCGGAAGCGUGGGGAGCAAACAGGAUUAGAUACCCCCGUAGUC
This 465-nucleotide ribosomal RNA is filed under the name uncultured bacterium. RNAcentral describes it as "partial 16S ribosomal RNA". It matches the Rfam family "Bacterial small subunit ribosomal RNA", at positions 339 to 795 of the family's 1533-position model. The record is from RNAcentral.